GCUCUUUCUGUUUGAUUUUCUUUGCCAUCAGCGUGGCAGAGCCCCACUGAGGGGAUUCCAGCCAUGUUUUAUUUCUGCUCUCAUCUGUUUUUUUCAGCUGACUUGGCGAAGGUAACGUGUAAUGACUUCAAGGAUCAUUCUUAUUACCAGAGGUAAUC
Molecule: long non-coding RNA, 158 nt
Filed under: Monodelphis domestica (gray short-tailed opossum)
Lineage: Eukaryota; Metazoa; Chordata; Mammalia; Didelphimorphia; Didelphidae
Description: lncRNA (ENSMODG00000047255.1)
Source: RNAcentral